UGGAACAGAGUGCGAACAUAGAGCAGCAUAUAAGGUCACGGCUUAGUAAUCCCAAAUUACAUAUCCUGCCGCUGCGCUCUCUUGCCCUCCCACAUCUGAAGGACAUGUGGUCUUGUAUCAUAAUCAGCUAUCAAAAUCCUGGAAGCUAAUUACUUAUUGUUCCUCUUUUCUGAAAAAAAAUGGAUGGGUGAAAGCUGACACAUAAUAAUGUUAUAGAAAUGGGAAUUGUACCAACUCAGCUGGCUGGCACCCUCCAAAUACUCAUGAAUUCUAAUAUUUGAUGCAAAAGGAUGUUCAAAAAUAAUUUUUUAAAAAAUAAAAAAAAAUCCAGGCUUGUUAUUGUUGUGUGCACAUUUUUCAUGACCUCUUAAAAAAGCCAUACUCAUGCACCUUGGGUGCUUGAUGACUUUAUUCAGACUAUUGAGAUGACAAAGUACAGCUAAAUUGCUUUAGCGUUAAUUAUCAUCUUAAUAGUUAAUAAGAGUCAACAAGAAAGAUGGCUCACAAUUAAUUUACCAAAUUCAACUCAAAGGUUCUUAUCUUAGGUCUUGUCUAUGCUGCAUUUAAGAGUCUUUAAUUUGAGUACGUGAGUUUAUCUUUUUUCUUGAUUCAAAUUUUAGAGUUUGAGAAUUAGACUUUUCUAAUUUUUUAGAAACUAAAAGGAAAAGUAAGGGGAUAAAUAGUGAAAAUCAAGAAAGUAGGACUUCCCCUAUUGGUAUGAAGAACUUGAGAAAUCUUAUAAGAACAAAAAUUCCUAAUUCUAUAAUUGCAGAAAUUUUAUUGAUAUUUAAUGCAAACUAAAUGCCCAUUCAUAUGAAAUCAUAACUCAUGUAUUCAAAAUGCUUAGACAAUCAUAAAAUUAUUGUAAAACAAUUUUAUAUUUUGAUUUGGCUUAAUUAAUGGCAUUAAGAUACUAGAGAAAAUCAUUUACAAACGAGCUUAUCCAUUUACAAAUGUUAAUAUUACUACAAACAAAAUUGAAGUGUGCUGCUGAGCUUUGGAAGAAUGGGCAGCUAAACCAAAUAUAGAAAGAAAAGAAACUGUUCAAAGAAGACAAAAUAGUUGAUCAAGUCAGCUGCUGCCCAUAAAUUCUACAACAGACCUAAAGGUUUGUACAUAAAUAGUCCGCGAUGUUUGUACCAAAAAAAUCUAUAGUUGAGUUUGCUAAGCAAGCAUUUGAUAUUAAAUAUCUAAUGAUGUAUAUGGUUUUCAUUGUUUAUUUUUUUUUUUUUGCUUUCUGGUAUAUUUUCUUUUCAUUUAUAAUAUUGUACUUUAUCAUAAAUAACUAUCUUUUUGAAUAAUAAACAAUAAUUUAUGCACUUCAUUGAUUUUGAUUGGAGUAAAAAGACAAAGAAAUAUGCAAGAAAAGAAUAUGGAAAGAGGAUUAAUAAAAAUAUUAUUUAACCUGCAAGGUUCUUUAGAUUUAUUGUUCCAUUGAUUUAAAAAUUGCAAAAUAUUUUAUAUCAGCGAUAUAAAAUUACCUUCGGCAAACAGGUUCAGAGGAUAUAUAGCUCUAGAUUUAUUUCAAAAUACUUGAUAGUGGCGUUCAAGAAAAAGUACCUCACACUAAUUCCAUUCUUAUUUAUAGCUUGAUUAUUGCUUCGGUCGAGUUCCAAAAACUACCUUCCACCAAUAUCAUUCUUGUUUAUAGCUCAA
RNAcentral lists this long non-coding RNA (1656 nucleotides) under Phoenix dactylifera (date palm). RNAcentral's name for it is "long non-coding RNA (PDAC_LNC004352)". Lineage: Eukaryota; Viridiplantae; Streptophyta; Magnoliopsida; Arecales; Arecaceae. The record is from RNAcentral.